Molecule: non-coding RNA, 159 nt
Filed under: Parvularcula sp.
Lineage: Bacteria; Pseudomonadati; Pseudomonadota; Alphaproteobacteria; Parvularculales; Parvularculaceae
Description: 6S RNA
Rfam family: 6S / SsrS RNA
About the family: E. coli 6S RNA was the first non coding RNA to be sequenced, but its function was unknown until recently. It consists of 184 nucleotides that fold into an extended hairpin structure with a large single-stranded internal bulge. The 6S RNA specifically associates with RNA polymerase holoenzyme containing the sigma70 specificity factor.
Source: RNAcentral
CUUGCGCUGCCCGGCGCGUUUGGGCGAACUUCCCCGGGGCCGUAUCUCACAGAACGGGAGCUGCCUCUGGAGGGAAGCCUUGCUUCCCAUCACGCGGCGCCCACCUGGUCCUUAGGGUCCAGGGCGAACGUCUCGUCCGACGGCCAGGGCGGCGCUUUU